Long non-coding RNA from Gambusia affinis (western mosquitofish), 773 nucleotides. RefSeq lists it as uncharacterized. The transcript is spliced from 3 exons. NCBI's taxonomy places the organism in Eukaryota, Metazoa, Chordata, Actinopteri, Cyprinodontiformes, Poeciliidae. The record is from RefSeq and is a predicted model, not a curated record.
CUGGUAAUAUUAUAUUGCUCUGCCAUUUUGUUUAGUCUUAAAUUUCUAAUUGAUCUAAUUGAUCUGAGGUUUUACAGCAAGAUGUCUAAAAAGCACUUAUGAACUUUGCAUUUGAAACAUCAUUAAAUAUUAUUUAAGGCUGUUUUAAGUAGUGCAAUACACCAUCUCCACCAGUGAGAGAAAGCAGUGCACCAACAGGUAUGCAGUGUGUUGGUGAAGAAGAAAUCUCCCAUCUUGUGAGGCCGACCCAACACAAGUUAUAUCUGCCUGUUUAAAAAGAAGCCAAAGUUUGUCACCUAAUACAUAUGAGCUUUAGCCACAUGAAGACCCAUUUUAGUCAAAGGACAUAUGGUGGGGAGUGGGGUGGACAAAGAUGGCUAAUGAAGACAUGCUACAGGUGUGGAGGGUGCUAAUGAGGACCAGCCAUGAGAGAAAGUAGUCCCUGUUUGACCAAAGAAAAGGAAGCAGAUGAAAUAUUCCCCAAGAAAAUUAGUGACCUCAGUGGAUUGAGUCAUCACCCACUAUGAGAAUGUCCAGAAGAGAUUCACCAAGUUUGUGUCAUAAAAUGUGGGGUGUGGUGGUGAGGCAAACGCCAUAGACCCAGGUUGAAGUGAAUGAAAUGAAGAUUUAAUGAAGAAUUACCAGAAUAAACACAGUCCAAUACAAUCCAAAAUGCCAGGCAGGACGGCCGAGUGGACACCAGGGCUCAACGCGAGUAGCAACCGGAUGAACGGCGGAAGAGGCGGACUGGCCACACAGACGACAGUGACAAA